GCGCCUCUAGCUCAAUGGCAGAGCAACGGACUCUUAAUCCGCAGGUUGGGGGUUCGAAUCCCCCGGGGCGCACCA
This 75-nucleotide transfer RNA is filed under the name Acidobacteriota bacterium. RNAcentral's name for it is "tRNA-Lys". It matches the Rfam family "tRNA". From Rfam's summary of the family: Transfer RNA (tRNA) molecules are approximately 80 nucleotides in length. Lineage: Bacteria; Pseudomonadati; Acidobacteriota. The record is from RNAcentral. RNAcentral also lists the same sequence under 2 other names.